UUCCAGUUUCUACAACGAAAUAGCUCGACUAAUCAUCUGUUUAUAGAAUUGAUGUUCGAAAUCGUGAUUUUUGAGUGAACUUCAUUGGAGCAGAAAAUCUUGGAGGGAACAUCAAUAAUAAUCUACUGACAUUCCAUGAGAAUAAAAAUCCAAUAGGACCAAGAUUUUAGCAGUUCACACCCGGUCAGAGGGACAAAAUUGAGAACCAUGCAGAUCAGCAAGUGUGGGUUACACUCUAAUGAGGAACAGGAUAUCUGAAUUGGAAAAUUGCAAGGUUUCCCACUGCCCAAGCUGUUUAAGUACUGGUAUCACAACAAGUACCAAGAUGGAAGAUAUAUGAAGGCCAAGCUAAUAAGUAGUUACUUCAAAUUAAUUUGAAUAGAUAUAUCAACAAAGCAGUGAAUGUUCUUUAAACUGCACAUCUGUAGAAAAGAGUUCAGGUUCAUCAGCGGGCAAUGACAUUAAAGUAUACAAAAUUUCACACAAAAUACAAGAAAGAAAUAUUUUUUUUUCCAAUGGGCAAAUGUAUCACCUUUUAUUAAUAUUUAAUAUUUCUACUAGUUCUUAGAAGUUUUUGUGAAAUUAAAUAUAAUUUCCAGUUUAAAGGACUAUUGUAUACAAGACAAAAAUUUAUAUUUUGAAAUAAAAAUCAUGCGUAGAUAAAUGUUAAUAAAGGUGAUCAGAGGAUUAAGAAAUAAUUUUAGUAUCACUCCUGGACCUCAUUCCAUAAACAAGUUAUUACUAUUGUAAUCUUGUCACUAUGACAAUUACCAUGGUAACAGGGCUGAGCAAGAAAUCAAGGUCUUUAUGGUAGCUGCAAUGGGCUUGGACAAAGUUACCAUAAUUGCAAGUCGUCAUGAUAAUGGCUCAAUUAUGUAGGGAUAUUAAAUUGCAUUUAUUGUUAUCUUACUCAAAGUUUUGAAAUGGGUUUCCUCUGCAAAAAUAUAUAAAUAGACUAUAUUUUUAAAAAUAGAUUGAAUUCUACCCACAGUGACAGUAGACAAUAUCAAAUUUUGUUAGUGAUUCACUGACUUGGAAAGGCACUGUUUAGGGAGAUUCUUGAAUUAUGCCCCCCCCCCUUUUUUUUAUGUGGAGUGCUCUCACAUUAGUAGAAUAUUUCUUGUCCGCA
Molecule: long non-coding RNA, 1129 nt
Organism: Lytechinus variegatus (green sea urchin)
Lineage: Eukaryota; Metazoa; Echinodermata; Echinoidea; Temnopleuroida; Toxopneustidae
Exons: 3
Source: RefSeq, a predicted model, not a curated record